RNAcentral lists this ribosomal RNA (422 nucleotides) under uncultured bacterium. Its description in RNAcentral is "bacterial SSU rRNA". It matches the Rfam family "Bacterial small subunit ribosomal RNA", at positions 917 to 1341 of the family's 1533-position model. The record is from RNAcentral.
GGGCCCGCACAAGCGGUGGAGCAUGUGGUUUAAUUCGAUGAUACGCGAGGAACCUUACCAGGGCUUAAAUGUAGAACGACCGAUUUGGAAACAAGUCUUCUCUUUGAGCGGUCUACAAGGUGCUGCAUGGUUGUCGUCAGCUCGUGCCGUGAGGUGUCGGGUUAAGUCCCUUAACGAGCGCAACCCCUAUCUCUAGUUGCCAGCGGAUAAUGCCGGGGACUCUAGAGAAACUGCCCGUGCAAACGGUGAGGAAGGUGGGGAUGACGUCAAAUCAUCACGGCCCUUACGUCCUGGGCUACACACGUGCUACAAUGGUCGGUACAGAGGGCAGCUACCACGUGAGUGGAUGCAAAUCUCGAAAGCCGAUCUCAGUUCGGAUUGAAGUCUGCAACUCGACUUCAUGAAGCUGGAAUCGCUAGUAA